Molecule: non-coding RNA, 25 nt
Filed under: Mus musculus (house mouse)
Lineage: Eukaryota; Metazoa; Chordata; Mammalia; Rodentia; Muridae
Source: RNAcentral
UAUCUAACCGUGCCUGACUGCGACC